Long non-coding RNA from Rhopilema esculentum, 1442 nucleotides. RefSeq lists it as uncharacterized. The record is from RefSeq and is a predicted model, not a curated record. Lineage: Eukaryota; Metazoa; Cnidaria; Scyphozoa; Rhizostomeae; Rhizostomatidae.
UCGGCGGCACGCAAGCAUUAUACAAAAUUUGCCCCCAUAUUUUGCGAAUAUAAUCACUAAAAAGGCAAAACCAUCAUCACACGGGCUUAAACUUGAAAUUUCCAUCCGAAUGAAUAUUUAUCAUAUUUCAAAAAAGCCAAAAAUUACUUUCGUCGUCAAAACUCUUUAUUUUUUUUAAGAUACACUCUCAUGUGAACGGUUGUACGAAAAUAAAAGCCUCAAAAUUGGUAAAAAAUAAAGAGAAAAUUUAGAACAAGCUAAGGCUAAGGUUCGUUAAAAUAUAAAAAAUUUGUUAUUAUGUAUAGAUCUCUCACAACAUAAUAAAGAUCAUGCAGAGGUUGCUAAAGAAACAAUACAUGCACUUUUAUAAUACCCUCCUAAUGUUUUUUUUUCAGUAACAUAUUGUUUCGUGUCAAAAUCCCUUCAAUUUGUAUCAAUUUAAUAUCCAAAAUAAUUAAAGAACAAUUUAGGAACACUCUAUCUAAAAAGUCAAGUUGCGUCGUUGGCGUUGUUAUUUCUUCCCACCAACUGAUAAAAAUUAUUUCCUUUGUCAAAAACAAUUGCCUUUUGUAAGCGACAAAUUAGUGUUUGUAUCUUCACACAUUUUCCAUAGAAAACCACCCGUUACAUGCAAUCUAAAUUCUGAUGUUACGAAACACGCUUUAUAAGGAUGUUUGUUAAAAAAAUUGCAAACGAAACUCCUGAUCAACAGAAGUGUUUGUUGCAAAUAAAAACUCUACCUCUGUUUAAUUGACUUUAAGCUGAAUGCAAAAGAGAAGCAACAACACAACAAGAACAGAAUGGUGAUAAAUCUUGAUGCAAAGGAGCAAACGGAGAGACGUGAAUGUAAUGAUGGAUAAUGGAUCGCUUGGCAGAGGGAGUCAAUUACCCCUGCCUCCGAGCCAGGAACACAGAAAGAAGACCAGCAAGGGACCAAUACUUCCAUCUUUCAGGAUGCAAAUGUGUUUUCCGGAAUGAAGAAAAUACUUUGAAGAAGAACUACAAACUUUAUCUUGUUCCUACUCAGUGCUACGUCCUUGCUGAAAUCCCAUCUCCAUUAACUAAAAAAGUUUCGUCGUGACAAAAUUUCGACAAAUAUUUUUACCAAAUUUUCUUUGACCAAAUUCAAAAUGGGACGGAAUUGGGUUACGACCGAAUUUUUUGCAUUUAUUAUUUUUGAUAAUUCCCAUUGGAAGCCUAUUAUAUGAGGCCAGAAAUCUUUCAAUCUGGUCAAUGCCAACUGUGUCAUUAUCUUCAUUUAUAUCGAAUUCAUAAUCAUCUUUAUCGUCGGCAUCAUCAUCAUAAUUGUCAGUUCUUGGACUAACUUCGUUUUUACCAUCGUUCGAUAAAAAGCAAGCCGUUGUACCAGUUUGCAAAAAUAAAUGAAUUUUCAAUAGGAAAUGGAGGAUUGCUUUAGAAAAAUUUGUUCAAGAGAUUGCAUU